RNAcentral lists this unclassified non-coding RNA (224 nucleotides) under Hevea brasiliensis (rubber tree). Lineage: Eukaryota; Viridiplantae; Streptophyta; Magnoliopsida; Malpighiales; Euphorbiaceae. The record is from RNAcentral.
CGCCACAUGAUGUAGCCGAGGCCCGGCUGUCCUUCGCCCUGCGCCCACGAAUUCAUGCGGUCGCAGAAGGCACGCGAACCGCCGCCCGGCCCGGGGAUCGCCCAGACCUGAUUGGUCGCGUCUUCGAGCAUGCGUGCGAACACCUUGAAGCCCGAACCGCGGAAGUGUUCGGACACAUCCUGCAUCACCAGAGGAUUGCGCAGGUCCGGCUUGUCGGUGCCGUA